RNAcentral lists this ribosomal RNA (273 nucleotides) under uncultured bacterium. RNAcentral's name for it is "partial small subunit ribosomal RNA". It matches the Rfam family "Bacterial small subunit ribosomal RNA", at positions 26 to 286 of the family's 1533-position model. The record is from RNAcentral.
AGAAUCAACGCUGGCGGCGUGCCUAACACAUGCAAGUCGAACGCGAGGACCCCGCAAGGGGUUAGUAGAGUGGCGAACGGGUGAGUAACACGUGGGUGACCUACCUUCGAAUGGGGGAUAACGUCCCGAAAGGGACGCUAAUACCGCAUAACAUCCUGCUUUUGAACAGGUGGAGAUCAAAGCCGGGGAUCGCAAGACCUGGCGUUUGAAGAGGGGCCCGCGUCUGAUUAGCUAGUUGGUGAGGUAACGGCCCACCAAGGCGACGAUCAGUAU